AUGAGCGGAGGGUCGCUCUUGGUGUUCAACCAAGGGAGGAAAGUCCGAACUCCGCAGGGUGCGAUGCCGUGUAACCGAGGAGUCCAUGGAUGUCCAAGGAUACACACGGGCAAGUGCGCCGAGAGGCGUCUUGACGGAAAGUGCCACAGAAAACAAACCGUCCGACACCGUCGGAUAAGGGUGAAAAGGUGGGGUAAGAGCCCACCGCUCCGAGAGUAAUCGACGAGGCAUGGUAAACCCCAUCGGGAGCAAGAUCGAAUAGGGAACCUGGGAGCGGCCCGCUCCAUCGGUGAACCUGAGUUCACCGGGGUUCCGGGUAAGAUCGCGAAGAUAAAUGAUCCUCUCCGUUCUUCGGAACGCAGACAGAAUUCGGCUUACAGCUCAUCC
Molecule: RNase P RNA, 387 nt
Filed under: marine eukaryotic metagenome
Description: Bacterial RNase P class A
Rfam family: Bacterial RNase P class A
About the family: Ribonuclease P (RNase P) is a ubiquitous endoribonuclease, found in archaea, bacteria and eukarya as well as chloroplasts and mitochondria. Its best characterised activity is the generation of mature 5'-ends of tRNAs by cleaving the 5'-leader elements of precursor-tRNAs.
Source: RNAcentral